RNAcentral lists this unclassified non-coding RNA (1333 nucleotides) under Hevea brasiliensis (rubber tree). Lineage: Eukaryota; Viridiplantae; Streptophyta; Magnoliopsida; Malpighiales; Euphorbiaceae. The record is from RNAcentral.
CUACCCAAAAUCUCUAAAAGUUCAGCCAUCCCAUUAUGCUUCUCAGUCUCAAAAAUAAAUUGAUAGAAAAUGUUAUUGAUAGCUUUCCUGAUAAAUGGUCGAUGCACCAUAAAUUUGCCAUAAAUGCGGUGGAGAAUUGUUUUCAAGUACUCCCUUUCCCUGGGAUCUUCAGAAUCAAAUAAAUCCAGAAACUUGAGAAUGAAUGAUUGAUCAAUGUAUCUUUUAGCUGGUUUUACAUCUGUCUCAGACGAUGCCACAAACCUCAAGAAAAGCUCAUACACAAGCUGCAAGUGUGGCCAUGCAAGAUCCAUAGAAGGCUCCUCCUCCUCCAAAUCAACACCAUCUACAACUUUAUUCUCACGUGGUUGAGGAGUGAACAUCCUAAUAAAUAAAUUUGCAGAAACCAUUUUCAGAACUUCUUGAAUAACAGUUUCUGUGAAUUUUCCAUUCACAGAAGUCACAUAAUCUACCAGCUCUAACAACGUCUGUCGCUUGAUCUCCUUUUCUUUGAGGUUCUUUGUUGGGUCAUUGAAGUCAAAUACAAUACAACAAAGGUUGAGCUUUUUUAUAAACAAGUUCUGCUUCUCAGAAUUUGGAACAUCCCUGAGUUCAGGCAAUCCUUCAUAUGAAGAAAACCCCAGAUUAUCAUUCAGCUUUGAAGUCACACCUCGCUGAUCAUUGUUACCAUGGUUUUGUCCUGUGUCUGAAGCAGAAUUAUUUGCUGUUACAGAUGUGACAUUCAACUUUGAUGACUUCUCCCCAAAAUCACUGCUUCUUGAGCCAGUGGAGUUGUUUGAAUUGAUGGCAAGAUUUCCACCAUGAUCACGAUUUUGAGACGAUUUAAAUGACUUUCGCGGAAGCUUACUAAGUAUCUGUUUUAACAUAAUUUACAUAAACAAACAAAUACUACUCCUAAAAGAGCCACAAAAACGAAUCCAAAAAUUUCACUGUUCAGUCCAAUACUAUCAGAAUCUUUCAAAUAAUACCAAAUUCCAAAUCUGCCAUAAUCAUAAAGCACACUUGAAGAAAGUGCUAGCACAAAUCUAAUUGAUGUUUUCAACCCAACCAGAAAGCUCAUUCAAUGUCUGUAUUUCCCAGAACAAAGCAAACGAAGGGGGGGCGGAAACUCUCAUUCUCAUCCACAAAACCAAAAGCAAACUCACCUCUCGACCCACACAUCAAGGCACUCCCUGAUUUCUCCAAUCAGAGUCAAACCAAAAACAGAACUACUUUAUGCUUUCCCACUCUCCUCUCACCAACCCAAUAUCAAAAUCCAAACUUUUUGGGACUGAAAUGGAAAACCCAAAAAGUUUAAAGUCUUCCUAAGCACGAG